This 72-nucleotide transfer RNA is filed under the name Candidatus Daviesbacteria bacterium RIFCSPHIGHO2_01_FULL_38_8. RNAcentral describes it as "tRNA-Pro". It matches the Rfam family "tRNA". From Rfam's summary of the family: Transfer RNA (tRNA) molecules are approximately 80 nucleotides in length. Their secondary structure includes four short double-helical elements and three loops (D, anti-codon, and T loops). Lineage: Bacteria; Candidatus Daviesiibacteriota. The record is from RNAcentral.
CGGAGAUUAGCUCAGAGGUAGAGCGCUCGGUUCGGGACCGAGAGGUCCGCGGUUCAAGUCCGCGAUCUCCGA